CCUACGGGUCGCAGCAGUGGGGAAUAUUGCACAAUGGGCGCAAGCCUGAUGCAGCCAUGCCGCGUGUAUGAAGAAGGCCUUCGGGUUGUAAAGUACUUUCAGCGAGGAGGAAGGUGUUGAGGUUAAUAACCUCAGCAAUUGACGUUACUCGCAGAAGAAGCACCGGCUAACUCCGUGCCAGCAGCCGCGGUAAUACGGAGGGUGCAAGCGUUAAUCGGAAUUACUGGGCGUAAAGCGCACGCAGGCGGUCUGUCAAGUCGGAUGUGAAAUCCCCGGGCUCAACCUGGGAACUGCAUCCGAAACUGGCAGGCUAGAGUCUUGUAGAGGGGGGUAGAAUUCCAGGUGUAGCGGUGAAAUGCGUAGAGAUCUGGAGGAAUACCGGUGGCGAAGGCGGCCCCCUGGACAAAGACUGACGCUCAGGUGCGAAAGCGUGGGGAGCAAACAGGAUUAGAUACCCCAGUAGUC
RNAcentral lists this ribosomal RNA (465 nucleotides) under uncultured bacterium. RNAcentral describes it as "bacterial SSU rRNA". It matches the Rfam family "Bacterial small subunit ribosomal RNA", at positions 338 to 795 of the family's 1533-position model. The record is from RNAcentral.